UACGUAGGGGGGCGAGCGUUUGUCCGGAAUUAUUGGGCGUAAAGAGCGUGUAGGCGGUUCGGUAAGUCUGCCGUGAAAACCUGAGGCUCAACCUCGGGCGUGCGGUGGAUACUGCCGGGCUAGAGGACGGUAGAGGCGAGUGGAAUUCCCGGUGUAGCGGUGAAAAUGCGCAGAUAUCGGGAGGAACACCAGUAGCGAAGGCGGCUCGCUGGGCCGUUCCUGACGCUGAGACGCGAAAAGCUAGGGGGAGCGAACAGG
This 258-nucleotide ribosomal RNA is filed under the name uncultured bacterium. RNAcentral's name for it is "partial 16S ribosomal RNA". It matches the Rfam family "Bacterial small subunit ribosomal RNA", at positions 524 to 776 of the family's 1533-position model. The record is from RNAcentral.